AGCAACAUUCUGCAUAUCUGCAAGGCCCUUCUAAUUUCGAGGCUCGGAGUAUCAACUAUGAUAUAAGACAUCAUUUCCAAUUGCCUCACAAUUUCCUCAAAUAAAUUGUUCGGGAUCAAGGCUUUGACUCACCAAAUGGCUACCAACGGCUUCACGUCGCCGUUUCCAACAUCUCACGACACACUGGGCGCUUCCCUCAAUACGCCCAUCUUUAUGCCCUCAUCACCUCCCGGAUUGGACUCAGUUUUACAUGCUAAGAAGCCCAGUUCGGCUCGCGCCUUGGCUGCAAAUGCUGCCCGUCGAAGAAAGCUGAGGUCCUCGAAGAAAACCAGUUCGCCAGAAUCCAGUGAUGGAAGCGAUUCAGACGCCGAUCUUGCAGAUUACACAUUCGAUAUGAGCAGACUCUCAGAUCAUAAAUCUGAUUACGGCGAUGGUGAAUCGCGUGAAGUGCGUGAGGCGCGUGCAGGGGCUUUUUCAGAGGAGAAACGGGAUGCAUUUUCGGAACUUGGGGGUCCGCGUGAUUUUACGUUAAAUAUGGUGGAGCUUGUAAGAGGGACAGGGGCCCUUAUGGAUAAUGAUGGGGAUAACGUGUCAAAGAUGGAACCAGCGAAAACGCAGGGAGAUGUGCCCCACAAUACAAUCGUUGCGGAGCAGACGAUAAAUGACUACAGUGAGAUGGACACGCCUCUUGAUAUGUCGACACCAGCACAUGUUCUUCCACGACGAAACGCUAUUUCGAGAAGCAACGCGCCCCUGGACAAAAUUGAUGAGCCUUCCUCGAUACAAUCGCCAGCCAGCAAACAAGCCCUGACAGUUGCGGAUCCUGACCAGCCAACGGAGCAGUCUACUUUGGAACGUCGAUUUCGCGAAGAGGUAAAGCGGCUCCAGCAGGAAUUACUCAGGAAGGACGAAACUAUCGAGGCGAAUAGAAGGAAAAUUUUGGAGUCAGCGUCAGCCGCUCAACAAAUUAAACAUCUGCAGUCUGAGCUUAGGAAGAGAAACGAUGCACUUAAAGAGAAGGAUGCGCAAUUGUCUGCUCUAACUGGCCAAUAUGAAGAAAUAGAAAAUUUACGGAUUCAGCUACAGCAAAAAGAUGAACAACUUGAACAACAUGAAGCUGAUGCUUUGACAAUAAAAUCCCUCCAGCAACAGUUGGAGCAACUGCAAAGCAAGGAUUCUCGGAAAUGUGCUUCCGCCAAUAGGAAUGAAGAAGACCCUCCUGCGCAAGCGAAGCAAGAAAACAACGCCGCUUCCACAAAACUUAGUGAGGACAUUUCAAACAAGGAUGCUCAGCUGAAACAACAUGCAGCAGAGAUCGGCCAGCUAAGAGCCACUCAAGACGCCCAGUAUCUAGAAAUCGACAAGUUAGACUCUGAACUUGAGACCGUGAGUCGUGAAUGUGAAGCUCUGGAAGAAAAGAGCGAGAGUCUUCUCAAUGCACUCCGAGAAUCCGAAUUACGAAACAAUACUCUCCAGUCCGAAUUGGAUAAUGCAAAUUCAGAAAUCGAUUCACAAUAUAAUGCAGUGAAAACUUUUGCAAACGAGGUAUCUAUCGAUAUCAGAGUAAAUAUGGCCUUUAGUCAAAUUUUCGAUGCGAUUAAGGGAGUGUACCAUGCAAAGAGAGUGGCGUCCCUGAACGAAGCGACAAAAAGCUCCGAGCGCAUUCGAGCCUUGGAAAGAGAACUCAGCGAGGCCCGAUUACAGCUACGAAAUUCUUUACCUUCAGACCGCAUGCAGACGCUUCAACUUGAAGGCACACGCCAGGAGCUCUCCGAGUCGAGAGCGCUCACAACAGUGCUUCAAGGCGAGAUAUCUCGACUAUCUUCCAAGAUUGAAUCAAUAAUAUCCGAACAAACCAAAUUGCAAGAUACCCUCUACAAAACCACUCAAGAGCGAGAUAAGGCACUAUACACCGUUGAUAAUCUCCGCAACCAACAGGACGUGACCGAAUCGCAACAACUCAGUCCUCCUAUAUCCCCCGCUCUUCAACCAACUGGCAUCGGCUCGCCAAAAUGUCCAGUUGACCACGACGCCCUCCUAAAAUCCCACCAAUCAGAGCUGAACAGCGUGCAUUCCGCCCACGCCACGGCCCUUUCCACCCUCCGCGACUCGCACUCUGAAACAAUCCGCACCCUCCAAAACGUCAUCUCCACCUCUCAGACGCGCGAGGCCAAGCUCAACUCAGAUAUGGGCCAGCUGCGCACAUCGAUUGCUUCCCUGGAGCAGCGUGUUGCUGAGCUAGUGACUGAGCAGGAACGCCUCGAAUCGAUUAUUGAGGCGAAGGAUUCAGCCGCCAAAGCUAUUGAUAAAAAAUUUGCUGGCGUCCUGA
Molecule: small RNA, 2329 nt
Filed under: Histoplasma capsulatum var. duboisii H88
Lineage: Eukaryota; Fungi; Ascomycota; Eurotiomycetes; Onygenales; Ajellomycetaceae
Description: Histoplasma capsulatum H88 hypothetical RNA
Source: RNAcentral